GCUUACCGCCAUACCACCCUGUCUGCGCCUGAUCUUGUGUGAUCUCGGAAGCUAAACAGGGUCGGGCCUGGUUAGUACUUGGAUGGGAGACAGCCUGGGAAUACCAGGUGCUGUAAGCU
This 119-nucleotide ribosomal RNA is filed under the name Sinocyclocheilus rhinocerous. Lineage: Eukaryota; Metazoa; Chordata; Actinopteri; Cypriniformes; Cyprinidae. The record is from RNAcentral.